RNAcentral lists this ribosomal RNA (520 nucleotides) under uncultured bacterium. Its description in RNAcentral is "bacterial SSU rRNA". It matches the Rfam family "Bacterial small subunit ribosomal RNA", at positions 334 to 904 of the family's 1533-position model. The record is from RNAcentral.
UACUCCUACGGGAGGCAGCAGUAGGGAAUCUUCCGCAAUGGGCGAAAGCCUGACGGAGCAACGCCGCGUGAGUGAUGAAGGUUUUCGGAUCGUAAAGGUUGCCAAGGAAGAACGUCUUCUAGAGUAACUGCUAGGAGAGUGCGGUACUUGAGAAGAAAGCCCCGGCUAACUACGUGCCAGCAGCCGCGGUAAUACGUAGGGGGCAAGGUUGUCCGGAAUUAUUGGGCGUAAGCGCGCGCAGGCGGUUCUUUAAGUCUGGUGUUUAAACCCGAGGCUCAACUUCGGGUCUGGGGGACUUAUGGAAUUCCACGUGUAGCGGUGAAAUGGUAGAUAUGUGGAGGAACACCAGUGGCAAACUCUCUGGGCUGUAACUGACGUGAGGCGCGAAAGCGUGGGGAGCAAACAGGAUUAGAUCCCUGGUAGUCCACGCCGUAAACGAUGAAUGCUAGGUGUUAGGGGUUGGAUACCCUUGGUCCAUUAAGCAUUCCGCCUGGGGAGACGGUCGCGACUUUGCGCCCUC